Molecule: transfer RNA, 95 nt
Filed under: uncultured marine thaumarchaeote AD1000_44_E12
Lineage: Archaea; Thermoproteati; Nitrososphaerota
Description: tRNA-Gly
Rfam family: tRNA
About the family: Transfer RNA (tRNA) molecules are approximately 80 nucleotides in length. Their secondary structure includes four short double-helical elements and three loops (D, anti-codon, and T loops).
Source: RNAcentral
GCCGGGGUAGCUCAGCCUGGCCUAGAGUGCCAGCCUUCCAAUGAAGGGCAAUACUCAUAAUCUGGAGGUCGUGGGUUCGAAACCCACCCCCGGCA